GAUGAACGCUGGCGGCGUGCCUAAUACAUGCAAGUCGAGCGGACAGACGAGGCUUUUGCUCGGCUGACGUUAGCGGCGGGCGGGUGAUUCACACGAGUAUAACCUACCUAUCAGACUGAGAUAACUACGCGAAAGCGGAUAUAAUACCGGAUAAGAUAUUGAACCGCAGGGUUCAUUGGUGAACGACGGUUGUGCUGUCACUAAUUGAUGGUUCCGGGCCGCAUGAGCUAGUUGGUACGUUAACGGCUUACCAUGGCGAGGAUGCGUAGCCGACCUGAGAGGGUGAUCGGCCACACUGGAACUGAGACACGGUCCAGACUCCUACGGGAGGCAGCAGUCGGGAAUAUGCGGCAAUGGGCGAAAGCCUGACGGAGCAAGGCCGCGUGAGUGAUGAAGGUCUUCGGAUCGUAAAGCUCUGUUACUAGGGAGGAACAAAUGUGUAAUUAACCAUGCACGUCUUGACGGUACCUACUCAGAAAGCCCCGGCUAACUACGUG
This 497-nucleotide ribosomal RNA is filed under the name uncultured bacterium. RNAcentral's name for it is "partial 16S ribosomal RNA". It matches the Rfam family "Bacterial small subunit ribosomal RNA", at positions 28 to 507 of the family's 1533-position model. The record is from RNAcentral.